UACGGGAGGGUGCGAGCGUUGUCCGGAAUCACUGGGCGUAAAGGGCGCGUAGGCGGCUAUGUAAGUCAGUUGUGAAAUACCUCGGCUUAACCGAAGGAAGUGCGAUUGAUACUGCGUAGCUUGAAUCAGGUUGAGGUAGGCGGAAUGUGACAUGUAGCGGUGAAAUGCUUAGAUAUGUCAUAGAACACCGAUUGCGAAGGCAGCUUACUGGGCUUUGAUUGACGCUGAGGCACGAAAGCGUGGGGAGCAAACAGG
RNAcentral lists this ribosomal RNA (255 nucleotides) under uncultured bacterium. RNAcentral describes it as "partial 16S ribosomal RNA". It matches the Rfam family "Bacterial small subunit ribosomal RNA", at positions 524 to 776 of the family's 1533-position model. The record is from RNAcentral.